CGGGCUGGAGGUACGCCGGAAGUGCCCGUGAGCCUCUCCUACCUCACGAGUCAGUGGCUCGCACCGCGUCCCCCUGAAAAACAGCGGUGGGUGAUGUUAUUACUGAGUUCAAGGUCUCACCAGGCGGAAACUGGCCAAGCUCGCCGAGGACCCUGCCAGCCGCCAAAGUGAGCAACCAUGGAGAAUGAGGGAGCAUCUCUUUUUGGACAAAAAUCAGACAUCCUUUUAUUUACUAUAAAAGUGGUGAAUCUAAGAUAAAAUGAAUUCCAGCAGACUUGAAAUAUCCAGAUGAUGAUUUAAAUUGCUAAAAGG
Long non-coding RNA from Mustela erminea (ermine), 312 nucleotides. RefSeq lists it as uncharacterized. The transcript has 3 exons. Lineage: Eukaryota; Metazoa; Chordata; Mammalia; Carnivora; Mustelidae. The record is from RefSeq and is a predicted model, not a curated record.